CGAGCGGGGUUUUCGGACCUAGCGGCGGACGGGUGAGUAAUGCGUAGGAAGCUACCCGAUAGAGGGGGAUACCAGUUGGAAACGACUGUUAAUACCGCAUAAUGUCUACGGACCAAAGUGUGGGACCUUCGGGCCACAUGCUAUCGGAUGCGCCUACGUGGGAUUAGCUAGUUGGUGGGGUAAUGGCUCACCAAGGCGACGAUCCCUAGCUGGUUUGAGAGGAUGAUCAGCCACACUGGAACUGAGACACGGUCCAGACUCCUACGGGAGGCAGCAGUGGGGAAUAUUGGACAAUGGGCGCAAGCCUGAUCCAGCCAUGCCGCGUGUGUGAAGAAGGCCUUCGGGUUGUAAAGCACUUUCAGUAGGGAGGAAGGGUUAAGUGUUAAUAGUACUUAACUUUGACGUUACCUACAGAAGAAGCACCGGCUAACUCUGUGCCAGCAGCCGCGGUAAUACAGAGGGUGCAAGCGUUAAUCGGAAUUACUGGGCGUAAAGCGCACGUAGGCGGUUUUUUAAGUCAGAUGUGAAAGCCCCGGGCUCAACCUGGGAAUUGCAUUUGAAACUGGAAAACUAGAGUGUGUGAGAGGGGGGUAGAAUUCCAAGUGUAGCGGUGAAAUGCGUAGAGAUUUGGAGGAAUACCAGUGGCGAAGGCGGCCCCCUGGCACAACACUGACGCUCAGGUGCGAAAGCGUGGGGAGCAAACAGGAUUAGAUACCCUGGUAGUCCACGCCGUAAACGAUGUCUACUAGCUGUUCGUGACCUUGUGUCGUGAGUAGCGCAGCUAACGCAUUAAGUAGACCGCCUGGGGAGUACGGUCGCAAGAUUAAAACUCAAAUGAAUUGACGGGGGCCCGCACAAGCGGUGGAGCAUGUGGUUUAAUUCGACGCAACGCGAAGAACCUUACCUACUCUUGACAUCUACAGAAGACUGCAGAGAUGCGGUUGUGCCUUCGGGAACUGUAAGACAGGUGCUGCAUGGCUGUCGUCAGCUCGUGUUGUGAAAUGUUGGGUUAAGUCCCGCAACGAGCGCAACCCUUAUCCUUAGUUGCCAGCACG
This 1055-nucleotide ribosomal RNA is filed under the name Rheinheimera sp. LVo-amp_6-11. Its description in RNAcentral is "bacterial SSU rRNA". It matches the Rfam family "Bacterial small subunit ribosomal RNA", at positions 63 to 1125 of the family's 1533-position model. The record is from RNAcentral. Lineage: Bacteria; Pseudomonadati; Pseudomonadota; Gammaproteobacteria; Chromatiales; Chromatiaceae.